RNAcentral lists this ribosomal RNA (751 nucleotides) under Streptomyces sp. Its description in RNAcentral is "bacterial SSU rRNA". It matches the Rfam family "Bacterial small subunit ribosomal RNA", at positions 89 to 852 of the family's 1533-position model. Lineage: Bacteria; Bacillati; Actinomycetota; Actinomycetes; Kitasatosporales; Streptomycetaceae. The record is from RNAcentral.
GGAUUAGUGGCGAACGGGUGAGUAACACGUGGGCAAUCUGCCCUUCACUCUGGGACAAGCCCUGGAAACGGGGUCUAAUACCGGAUGAUACUUCCACUCGCAUGGGUGGGGGUUGAAAGCUCCGGCGGUGAAGGAUGAGCCCGCGGCCUAUCAGCUUGUUGGUGAGGUAGUGGCUCACCAAGGCGACGACGGGUAGCCGGCCUGAGAGGGCGACCGGCCACACUGGGACUGAGACACGGCCCAGACUCCUACGGGAGGCAGCAGUGGGGAAUAUUGCACAAUGGGCGAAAGCCUGAUGCAGCGACGCCGCGUGAGGGAUGACGGCCUUCGGGUUGUAAACCUCUUUCAGCAGGGAAGAAGCGAAAGUGACGGUACCUGCAGAAGAAGCGCCGGCUAACUACGUGCCAGCAGCCGCGGUAAUACGUAGGGCGCAAGCGUUGUCCGGAAUUAUUGGGCGUAAAGAGCUCGUAGGCGGUCUGUCGCGUCGGAUGUGAAAGCCCGGGGCUUAACCCCGGGUCUGCAUUCGAUACGGGCAGACUAGAGUGUGGUAGGGGAGAUCGGAAUUCCUGGUGUAGCGGUGAAAUGCGCAGAUAUCAGGAGGAACACCGGUGGCGAAGGCGGAUCUCUGGGCCAUUACUGACGCUGAGGAGCGAAAGCGUGGGGAGCGAACAGGAUUAGAUACCCUGGUAGUCCACGCCGUAAACGGUGGGAACUAGGUGUUGGCGACAUUCCACGUCGUCGGUGCCGCAGC